CACUCCUACGGGAGGCAGCAGUGGGGAAUUUUGGACAAUGGGCGAAAGCCUGAUCCAGCAAUGCCGCGUGAGUGAAGAAGGCCUUCGGGUUGUAAAGCUCUUUUGUCAGGGAAGAAACGGUGAGAGCUAAUAUCUUUUGCUAAUGACGGUACCUGAAGAAUAAGCACCGGCUAACUACGUGCCAGCAGCCGCGGUAAUACGUAGGGUGCAAGCGUUAAUCGGAAUUACUGGGCGUAAAGCGUGCGCAGGCGGUUUUGUAAGUCUGAUGUGAAAUCCCCGGGCUCAACCUGGGAAUUGCAUUGGAGACUGCAAGGCUAGAAUCUGGCAGAGGGGGGUAGAAUUCCACGUGUAGCAGUGAAAUGCGUAGAUAUGUGGAGGAACACCGAUGGCGAAGGUAGCCCCCUGGGUCAAGAUUGACGCUCAUGCACGAAAGCGUGGGGAGCAAACAGGAUUAGAAACCCCAGUAGUCCCUGAU
Molecule: ribosomal RNA, 475 nt
Filed under: uncultured organism
Description: partial 16S ribosomal RNA
Rfam family: Bacterial small subunit ribosomal RNA
Source: RNAcentral